RNAcentral lists this ribosomal RNA (440 nucleotides) under uncultured bacterium. RNAcentral describes it as "bacterial SSU rRNA". It matches the Rfam family "Bacterial small subunit ribosomal RNA", at positions 335 to 762 of the family's 1533-position model. The record is from RNAcentral.
ACUCCUACGGGAGGCAGCAGUGGGGAAUAUUGCACAAUGGGGGAAACCCUGAUGCAGCCAUGCCGCGUGUGUGAAGAAGGCCUUCGGGUUGUAAAGCACUUUCAGUAGGGAGGAAGGUAGUGUAGUUAACACCUGCAUUAUUUGACGUUACCUACAGAAGAAGCACCGGCUAACUCCGUGCCAGCAGCCGCGGUAAGUACGGAGGGUGCGAGCGUUAAUCGGAAUUACGUGGGCGUAAAGCGCAUGCGAGGCGGCCUGUUAAGUCAGAUGUGAAAGCCCGGGGCUUAACCUCGGAAUUGCAUUUGAAACUGGCAGGCUAGAGUCUUGUAGAGGGGUUAGAAUUUCAGGUGUAGCGGUGAAAUGCGUAGAGAUCGUAGAAGGAAUACCGAGUGGCGAAGGCGGCCCCUAGGACAAAGACUGACGCUCAGAUGCGAAAGCGU